This 483-nucleotide ribosomal RNA is filed under the name uncultured bacterium. RNAcentral describes it as "partial 16S ribosomal RNA". It matches the Rfam family "Bacterial small subunit ribosomal RNA", at positions 30 to 506 of the family's 1533-position model. The record is from RNAcentral.
AUUGAACGCUAGCGGGAUGCUUUACACAUGCAAGUCGAACGGCAGCGCGGACUUCGGUCUGGCGGCGAGUGGCGAACGGGUGAGUAAUGUAUCGGAACGUGCCCAGUAGCGGGGGAUAACUACGCGAAAGCGUAGCUAAUACCGCAUACGCCCUACGGGGGAAAGCAGGGGAUCGUAAGACCUUGCACUAUUGGAGCGUCCGAUAUCGGAUUAGCUAGUUGGUGAGGUAACGGCUCACCAAGGCGACGAUCCGUAGCUGGUUUGAGAGGACGACCAGCCACACUGGGAAUGAGACACGGCCCAGACUCAGACGGGAGGCAGCAGUGGGGAAUUUUGGACAAUGGGGGCAACCCUGAUCCAGCCAUCCCGCGUGUGCGAUGAAGGCCUUCGGGUUGUAAAGCACUUUUGGCAGGAAAGAAACGUCGCGGGCUAAUACCCCGUGGAACUGACGGUACCUGCAGAAUAAGCACCGGCUAACUACGU